GAAGGGGGAAGGAUGUUGUUCUGCUCCAUUACUUUGAUGCAGCCUCCAAGCAUGAACAAACUUCCUUGAAGGAAUAAAUAGUGGAUGAUUUCUGCUUCACUAAAACCACUUUGUUCUCUGCCAGCCUGGGUUUGAGGAGCAGAGAUAAUUUUGGUCUGCCUAGAUUUAUGGCCUGAUAAGCAAGGGGAGUGUCUGCUGCAAGGAGCAGGGAUCCCCAGGACCAUCCCAGUGACACUGACCAGACUCAUUUGGACAGAGGUCAGGCGGCCUCCUUUUAGUUGCCCUCCCACAGCUUUCCUUAAAACUUCGUCGUUAAGGAGAUUAUACUUUGGGGGAUAAUUGGGUCUGUGACACCUCCUGAGCCAGUGUUAACAGUGUUGGGAGGAGAGAUUUGAACACCGUAUGGGCACUGUUUGCUUGGGAAGAUUUUAAAGCUCAGGAAGGGGGGAUCUUGUGCCUGAUGUUGGAUUUAUGGAUGGAUGCGGAGAGUCAGGUCUCUUCCCUUCAGAAAACUUAUCAGAGAUGCCUUUGUGCAAGCACAAAGUUUGCUUGAGGGAGGCUGUCAUCCCCUUGAAGUACCAAAAACAAGCCAACCUGUUUUCCUUCCACUGCAGAUAAAUGCGGCGACACGAUCAAAAUUCUAAGCCCCGGGUACCUCACCUCCCCCGGCUACCCCCAGUCCUACCACCCCAGCCAGAAGUGCGAGUGGCUGAUCCAGGCCCCGGAGCCCUACCAGCGGAUCAUGAUCAACUUCAAUCCGCACUUCGACCUGGAGGACCGCGACUGCAAGCUCUGGUACUGUAAAAUGAUGCUCAGCAUCAUCAGGAGUGGUUGUCAUGGGCUGUGAAGUGGGACUGCUGGAUUUAGGGAGCGACUGUAUUCAAGCACUUAAUUUUUACCAUGCGUGUCUCUGUUCCUAUCGCUUAAUAAAUAGAUUACUUAGAACAUCAUUAUUGAUUUCCCUUAAAAUGAAGUUCUUUAAUGAUACAUUGUCGCACUUAGUUGCUUUGUUGUUGUUUCUGUAAUCUCUUGUGUAUCAGCAUUUCAGUUCAAGCGAUAAUGCAGGAAAACCCUGUGCUAUAAAACUAAACGGACUCUUUGUUGAAAUGAAUUUUUAUUGUGAUGUUGGAGCUGCAGCUCAUAUUCACACCAUAUGUUCACACGCUCAUUUCCCAUUCUUUAAUUUUUAAUUUGCUGUACUCAGGCCAUGAUUCACUUCCUUGUGUCUUCUUUGUAUGGGUUUUACUUUCUUUCUGUGGAACAGUACUAAUGCUUAAAAAUGAUUGUGUGUGUAUCUCUUUGUCUUUUAGACAGAGAUUGAGAAAUUAAAUCAGGCAUAUUCCAGUGUCAACCCCUUUUUUGUUCCUUGCUAGAAUACAUGUUUUUCCAGUGCUAUAAAACCAACGUGGUCUUUGACAGCAGUAAAGUGGUGCACAGCAUACAAUUAUUUAAGGAACAAGUAAUCUUUGUGGCGAAGUGUUGUGCUAAAUAGUGCCAGACUGAGCUGAACGGGGUCCAGGGAAGAGAUUGACUCCCUCCCUUCAUCGCUCCCUUCUCAAUAUUCAUUGUCCACUUUCGCCCUUGCAUUAUUCCUUCCUCUGAAAGGGGCCCAACACAGUAAUGAGAUGGCAGUGGGUGGGAGGGAGUCUCUGAACAGGGCUGUUUGCAUUGUCUUUGCAGCGUGUGAUGGUGAUGACUUUACUGUCAUUUGGUCUAUGCUGAAAUGCUAAUCUUCUAGGCUAUGAUAAAUUACUCAGCUGCUACUUCACUUAUAUUUAAAAUUGCUCUUUUUAAUUUGAGAAGGAUUGUGUUUGUGCCAAGAACCUUAGGUCCAGAAUAAUACAAAAUGAUUUCAGCAACAGAAAUUUGUCAACAAGCUCUGUGGUUUCACAUUUCACUGUCUGCUUAGAAAAUCCACAUUCCUUUUACCGAAUUCCGAGUGCAAGCGAUGAUUAAUGCAGUGAAACAUAUCAUGAGAUUUUUUUUUGGUUUUGCAACUAAGUACAUUUUGAUUUCCUAAUAUUCUUAGUUUAUUAGCAACUCAGUGUGCCAUCUCAAAAUGUGCAAUUUAGGUUACGCACUGGCUUAUUGAAAGGUUUAGCACUGGAAAUUAAUAAGCACUUAAAUAUGAAAAGCAGAUAGAAAAUGAGAGAUAGGGGAAUUCAUGUCUGGGAACAAAAAUGCCCCGUACAAUUAAAGUGGACUGGAGGAGAAGAUUAACUUUCUGGCCUAGCUCCCAAAAUCCUCUUUAUAAUGCUGUUCCUUGCAUCUUAUACCUCAGUUAGAGUUGGAGAUAACUUCAAUAACAAAAACCCCUGCGCCUGGGAAAGGGAACAGUGUGACUUUGGAAGGGUUACUCUUGUGGUCUGUAGCGUCAGUGGGAAAACCAAGAGGCCUUACCUUACUUGUGAAUAUCACUACGUGUAGAAGACUGGGCGUAUUGAAAUGUAAAACUGGUGAAAGGUCAAUUCUCCGAGGAGAAUCAAAAGCAGCAAGUCUCAGUAUCAGCUAUACCGAAGCUGUUCGCAGUGAGUCUCUUUGAACAUGAGGGUUUGGGAUUCAUUUUGAAAAUAUACUCUUGAUUUACCUAUGGUUAUGCUGUGCUUUAAUGGAUAAGUGUUUCUCAAAUGACUGCUAGUAAAAUUUAUGUGUGUGAUUUUCUGAUGAUCGUUUGAGUUGUUUUAAGCAAACACGGUGAAAAAUCCUGUUUUUCUGGAGGCAGUCCAGAAAACUUCUGAACUUUCACAGUUCUGAAGAAUAAAGAUACACAAAUAAUUAGAAAUAUGUUCACACAAGCUAGGUUCAUCUGACAAAAAACUUUCUAGCCAGAAUUACUGAACCAGCAUAAUGGAAACACUGGGUCUCAACGGGAAGCAUACAAUCAUGUCAACCACAGAUUGUUAUCAAGAGUAUUAGCACAUAAUGAAAAAAUACACAGUCUCUUUUUAACUUUUUACUUUAAUGAGUGUUAUGCCUCCUCUUCGGGAGGCAAAGAAACAGCAAUUACUGUUUACUUUAAGACAGCGCUAGCUUGUUUGCUGUUUUGCCUUUUCUCAAGCAAGCGUGGAUAACAUCCAUGCAUUUUUUUGAGUCAGGAAGAUGGUUAAAAUGAAUAGAAGAGACAAAACAUAUGUCUGAGUAUUAAAAUGCUCCAAUGUUUGUUGCAUGUGUAAAUGCUUUUCAGCACUUGGAGCAAGCUGUAUAUGUCUCAUGUCACUGAAGGAGCCUACUGUGUAAAUGUAGCCAUCUUGAAUCCAGUAAAACUUUAUACCUCGAUAAUAAACAAGAAUGUCACUGAUACAGUAUUUUGAAUUUAUGGAACUUUUCCGGUUUCCCAGCAAUGCACACUAUCAGCAUGAUAAUUUAUAAUGGUUUGUGACAAAUGUUGCUGAGCAAAGAGGUGUGUGGUUACAUUCAGAUCAGAUGUCAUUAUCUGGGGAGCAAUAAAAAUUUCACAGACACUAGGUUAAAAACAUUAAGAAAAUGAAUGUGAAGCUUCAGAAGAAAAGGGCUUAAGAAAGGUGGAGAACAGGGUAGAGAAAGCCCAAAAGUGGUUUUCUUACUGACAAAUUAUUGACUUUGUUGCCAGACUUGACUAUAUUGCUUUACAAGGUCUUCAUAGAUAUUCCAUGCAGUACAGUUGUUUUAUUGGCCAUCAUUUAUAGAUGUAUAGAGAAAUAUCAUCCUUGCUUGACAAUUAUAAAAGGUGUACACAGUGCUGUCAAAUUGGUCUGAACAGAAGAAUUGCCCAUUUUGGAAACAUUUGUGUCCUAGAUGGAAAGAUGUCACAGAUAAUUUUUCUUUAUACUGCUUUAGGUUUAGGUACACUGAUUAGGUACACUGAUGAAAUAAGGGCUGAGUAGAAAUUGCAGUUAGUUAUAGAAUACAGAGAAAAAAAUACCCACCUGUGUUUGUUUAUGUAGAAGAAAGCAGCUCCUGCAGACCCUUGAGUUUGCAAGCAGAAAGGCUGGCCAGACUGAGUGCAACUGUAGCCCUACAAACCUCUAUAGCCCUUAAUGAUGUUGGAAAAUCAUCCAUCCAUUGUAUUUCUAAAUAAUGUCAAUGGAUUUAUGCUGUAAAUCUGUAGGCAUAACAAACUGAGGCUGGUAAAAUAAACAGGAGCAAGGCAAGCCAUGGCUCAGCCUUGCUUUAGUUUCUGCAAAGUUUAAGCUUUCAUUUACUUUUGUUUAAAUCCUGGUUCCUAUUUCUCCACACAGUGACAGGCUGCCUUCGGCAGACUUUGUGGUUUAUGUUUCUCUUGUGCAAAGGCAGUUUGAGCCCCAGGUGGCACUGAGCUGCUUUGGUUAUGCAGUGAUGUCCUGGGAGACCCAGUUAAACCGCAUAUGUUGGAACGGUCCUUUGAACUGCUAAGGCUGCACACAUUACAGCUGCAUUCUGACUGCCCAGAGGUGUGGCUGAGACCUGGCUCCAGGUUUACCAACCGUGAAUUGCUCCCAAAUCUGUGCAAGGGACAUCUCAGCAGUAAUGCAAGAUCUGGACUCCAUACUAUCUUGUUAUCAUUGAAAGCAAGGGGAAUUUUGCCCUCCGCUUUCGCAAAGCUGUAUCUUCUUUUUUUUAUAGCUGUGAGGAAUGGUGGAGCACAGGCCCUGUAUGACUGUUUUAUAACUGUAUCAGUCAUUUUGAUGGCAAACGUCAAUCAGAGCUUCCUAAUUUCAUGUCCUUCAGUUGCUUUUGAACUCAGUAGGCAGUAAGGUGACUGCAGCUGAUUAUGGCAGCUAAGCAGCAGAGAUAGUAAAAGAGCGGAUUAAUUCAGGUUGUGAAAGACAGGAAACAUAUUUCUUAGAAUCAUAGAAUCACAGAGUGGUUUGAGUUAAAAGGGACCUUAAAGAAUGUCAGUUCCAACUCUGUCCAUGGGUAGGGAUGCCCCCCAGCAGCUCAGGUGCCCAAGACCCCAUCCAACCCAGCCUUGAACACCUCCAGGGAUGGGGCACCUAAUUCUCUGGGCAGCAGUGCCUGGGCCUCAACAUCCAUUUCACCAUGACUGAACUCAGUAGAGGAGCCUGAAUGAGUCGAUGCUUCUGAGCUUUCAAUCAGAAAUGUGGUUUUAGCAGCCUGCUCUGCCUGUCUAGGCACCAGUGCCAUUUCUUCUAGCCAUUUGCCUCAGGACCAGGUACCUAAGGCAGACAUGAAUGUCCACUUGCCACCUGCUGGAGGUGGCUGAAGUGAUACCCACUCUUGUGUGUCUUUGAGUGAACCAAAGCACCCAGCCCUUACAUCAUGAGCACCCCACAGGAGGAAGCUGGCAUAUACCUGAUGGCCUCACUGCUGAAACCAGGUUCAAUGUGAUUUCAAGAAGAAUGUGACUAUCAGCACUGUCCUGCAGGAGAAGCUGUACCAGGGCCAAAGAGUCAGUUUCUCCACCCUGGUCUCUCUCAGAAACCUCUCCUUCAACAGGAGCAUCAAGCUGUUUGGGAUUAUUGAGACAUUAUUUGAAAUUAUAAAAGGAAUGGAAGUGAUCAUCGUUCUGGCCACCAAAACAAGAAAAAGGCCUUUUGAGGUAGUUUAGGAUGAGAGUUGUUGCAGUGGACUUUCAACGUCUGUUUCUGGGUGCACUCUUAGAGCAUUUCUCUACUUUAAAUAAAAGCACAUUAAAGGCUUUCUCAGGCAGCGUGCUGUUGAUGACUAUUAUUUGAUACUAUCUGGAAGGCCAACAGUGCCAAGUAAGGGGGUCAGCCCAGGGUCUGCUCAGAUUCAGGAAAGCAAAUAACUCUUGUUUCAGUACAGAUGGGUAUGUUGCAUACAGAUAAUAUUUUUUCUUUACGUAAAAUUUCUGAAUCAUAGUCCUUUCUCCUUGCUACAGGAUUGGGCAUGUAUUUCCAGACAUUUAUCAGAUGCAAGCAUCCAAAGAUAGCUCUAUUAUUUUAUUGUGUUUUAGAGAUUAAAUAAGAGUUUAAAGAAGUUGGAAAUUAAAUUGUUUUUGUGAUUACA
Non-coding RNA from Meleagris gallopavo (turkey), 5949 nucleotides. The record is from RefSeq and is a predicted model, not a curated record. NCBI's taxonomy places the organism in Eukaryota, Metazoa, Chordata, Aves, Galliformes, Phasianidae.